CAGCAGCCACGGGAAAACAGAGGGUGCAAGCGUUAAUCGGAUUUACUGGGCGUAAAGGGCGCGUAGGUGGUUAUUUAAGUGAGAUGUGAAAUCCCCGGGCUUAACCUGGGAACUGCAUCUUAUACUGGGUAACUGGAGUGCAGUAGAGGGUAGUGGAAUUUCCGGUGUAGCGGUGAAAUGCGUAGAUAUCGGAAGGAACACCAGUGGCGAAGGCGGCUACCUGGACUGAGACUGACACUGAGGCGCGAGAGCGUGGGGAGCAAACAGGAUUAGAUACCCCUGUAGUCCCUGUCUCUUAUAC
Molecule: ribosomal RNA, 301 nt
Filed under: uncultured bacterium
Lineage: Bacteria
Description: partial 16S ribosomal RNA
Rfam family: Bacterial small subunit ribosomal RNA
Source: RNAcentral